This 443-nucleotide long non-coding RNA is filed under the name Physcomitrium patens. Its description in RNAcentral is "long non-coding RNA (PPAT_LNC009465)". Lineage: Eukaryota; Viridiplantae; Streptophyta; Bryopsida; Funariales; Funariaceae. The record is from RNAcentral.
CAAAGAAAAGGAUUUGAUAGAAGAUUGGAUAGGGUUUCUAUGAGCAUUAGUUUUGGAUUAUUUGGAUCUGUAUUGAUUUUGUAAGAGCUUUGCAAAGUCAAGGUUUGUUUUGGAUAACUUGGAUUUUGUGAAAUAAAAUAAGAUUUAUAUUUUGGAUAAUUUCAAAAGUUUUGUAAUAAAUCUAUAAGUGAAAUUUUAUAGGUUAAUGGUUAUAGUUGUAUUUAAUAUGUGUUGUAAAUUUGAACUCGAUCUAACAGUUGAAUUGAGGAUUAUUGAGGUUUAAGUGAGUCAAGGUCUCAAAAAGUAGAAUUUUAGGUCCAGUGAGAAUUUGUAAGAUUUCUUGCAAUCUACUUAUUGGAUUGGAGUGAAAUUUAUGUGAGAGGAUAUUAGACUUGUUUUUCUAUGUGUAUGAGAAUUUUUAAAUCAAUUGAAUGGUAAAAAAG